This 252-nucleotide ribosomal RNA is filed under the name uncultured bacterium. Its description in RNAcentral is "partial 16S ribosomal RNA". It matches the Rfam family "Bacterial small subunit ribosomal RNA", at positions 1251 to 1500 of the family's 1533-position model. The record is from RNAcentral.
AAGACCGUGAGGUGGAGCAAAACUCAAAAACUUAGUCUCAGUUCGGAUUGUAGGCUGAAACUCGCCUACAUGAAGCUGGAGUUGCUAGUAAUCGCGAAUCAGCAUGUCGCGGUGAAUACGUUCCCGGGCCUUGUACACACCGCCCGUCACACCAUGAGAGUUGGCAAUACCCAACGUACGUGAUCUAACCCGCAAGGGAGGAAGCGUCCUAAGGUAGGGUCAGCGAUUGGGGUGAAGUCGUAACAAGGUAUC